This is a non-coding RNA of Cyprinodon variegatus (sheepshead minnow), 471 nucleotides long. The record is from the annotation of a RefSeq genome assembly. Lineage: Eukaryota; Metazoa; Chordata; Actinopteri; Cyprinodontiformes; Cyprinodontidae.
AUCACACUGAAACACAAUGGACUACAGAUCUGGACUGCUGUUUUCUAUGAUCUGCUUUACCGGCAUUUACUGUCAGACUCUGAGAGAAUCUGAACCAGUGGUUAAAAGACCAGGAGAGUCUCACAAACUGACCUGUACAGCCUCUAGAUUCACAUUCAGCAGCUACUGGAUGGCCUGGAUUAGACAGGCUCCUGGGAAGGGACUGGAAUGGCUAGCUUAUAUCAGUAGUGGUGGUGGUGGUAGCACCUAUUAUUCUCAGUCAGUCCAAGGCAGGUUCACCAUCUCCAGAGACAACAGCAAAAAGCAGCUGUAUCUGCAGAUAAACAGCCUGAGAACAGAAGAUUCUGCUGUUUAUUAUUGUGCUCGAGAGGCACAGUGACUGGAGUCAGUUCAGCAGCUGUACAAAAACCUCAAACUGAUCCGUUGUUCAGAAUUUUACCUUUUUUAUAUGAGAACUAAUUUCACUAAAUA